RNAcentral lists this long non-coding RNA (585 nucleotides) under Lupinus angustifolius (narrow-leaved blue lupine). Its description in RNAcentral is "long non-coding RNA (LANG_LNC002259)". The record is from RNAcentral. Lineage: Eukaryota; Viridiplantae; Streptophyta; Magnoliopsida; Fabales; Fabaceae.
CUUAUUCUACUAGAUCCCAACCUUCUUGGUGUCCCAUACCCACUAUACGAAUGCCCAUAUAUCAACAAGUGUCCGAAAUAGGAACAAAACGCAACAGUAUCAUUCAAUAGAAUAGGAACAAUUUGUGUUGGUGAUUAAGCAACAAUGGCAUCUCGUAAAUUUAUGAACGAGAUCAAAGGAUUGAAAGUGAAAGAAGUUCCACACCACAUGAAGCCAUAUUUUUCAAUCAAUUUCAUCAAAAAUUCCAUUGAAAAAGGGUUACACAAUUACCACAUCAAGUAUAUUCAAACCAAUUCCGCUGAACCUCUUUACCAUCUCUGCUUUGGAGGCUUGAUCUUUUCUUAUCUUGUUGCUCUUCCACAAGAGCGUCGCCACCACGCGCAUCAACAACCUCAUUGAUUCCGUUGUUUCAAUUCUCAUCAGGUUUGAUUUCUCAUCAUUUUGUUAUGUAAAGUUUCGUUUUUUAUUUUUUAUUUUUUAAUGGGUCAGUGUAAGAUUCAUGGAUCUUAAAUUUAGGACUAAAUGCCCAAAUUGAAAAAUAUGUCAUAGAAGUUAGAAUUCAUUUUUGGUUGGGAGAAUUCAGAC